UAUGUUGAAAGAUUUAUCGCUACCGGAUUGGCGUCGCGUACCAUUAGCUAGUUGGCGGGUAACGGCCCACCAAGGCGACGAUGGUUAGGGGUUCUGAGACGGAAGGUCCCCCCACAUUGGAACUGAGACACGGUCCAGACUCCUACGGGGAGGCAGCAGUGAGGAAUAUUGGUCAAUGGCCGAGAGGCUGAACCAGCCAUGCCGCGUGCGGGAGGACGGCCCUAUGGGUUGUAAACCGUCUUUUUUGAGGGAGCAAUAAGUCCCACGUGUGGGAUGAUGAGAGUACCUUGAGAAUAAGCAUCGGCUAACUCCGUGCC
Molecule: ribosomal RNA, 317 nt
Filed under: uncultured bacterium
Lineage: Bacteria
Description: bacterial SSU rRNA
Rfam family: Bacterial small subunit ribosomal RNA
Source: RNAcentral